Molecule: ribosomal RNA, 497 nt
Filed under: uncultured bacterium
Lineage: Bacteria
Description: partial 16S ribosomal RNA
Rfam family: Bacterial small subunit ribosomal RNA
Source: RNAcentral
GACGAACGCUGGCGGCGUGCCUAAUACAUGCAAGUUGAGCGCUGAAGGUUGGUACUUGUGCCAACUGGAUGAGCAGCGAACGGGUGAGUAACGCGUGGGGAAUCUGCCUUUGAGCGGGGGACAACAUUUGGAAACGAAUGCUAAUACCGCAUAAAAACUUUAAACACAAGUUUUAAGUUUGAAAGAUGCAAUUGCAUCACUCAAAGAUGAUCCCGCGUUGUAUUAGCUAGUUGGUGAGGUAAAGGCUCACCAAGGCGAUGAUACAUAGCCGACCUGAGAGGGUGAUCGGCCACAUUGGGACUGAGACACGGCCCAAACUCCUACGGGAGGCAGCAGUAGGGAAUCUUCGGCAAUGGACGAAAGUCUGACCGAGCAACGCCGCGUGAGUGAAGAAGGUUUUCGGAUCGUAAAACUCUGUUGGUAGAGAAGAACGUUGGUGAGAGUGGAAAGCUCAUCAAGUGACGGUAACUACCCAGAAGGGGACGGCUAACUACGUG